Long non-coding RNA from Bos taurus (domestic cattle), 1685 nucleotides. The record is from Ensembl. Lineage: Eukaryota; Metazoa; Chordata; Mammalia; Artiodactyla; Bovidae.
UCUUGUUAAAAUUUUGUAUCAUCUUUUUAAAUCCACAUAAAUUUCUUUUUAGAUUUCUAACUUUCCCAACGCCAUUACAUUAAAACUAUUUGUAAGAACCCCGCUGUACUGCAAUGUCGAACUGGGUCCACACCCACCACGCUGUCCGUGUCUGCAUGUCUAGUGAACAAACAGGUGGGGCUGUUGGUGGGAGAGGCUGGCGUCCACGUCCGCUUUAUAACUUGACCGCCGUGUGCAGCUGGGCUCCAGUUCCCGUCUCAGAGCAGGUGGGAGAGGGCCUGUGUGACGGGGGAGGAUCCCAUGGACAGCGGGGGGGGACACCCCCACAGCAGCUCUGCAGUCCAGCCCAGCCCCCCUGGGGAGCUUCGGGCUCGGCCGCCCUGCCCCCUCCCACCCCGGGUGUCUGUGCACACAGCAGGUGGAGGGUCACGGUCUGAGAUUGCCCUGGACACCUCCUGUGAGGUCAUCCCCACCUGGGGGCUUUCAGGCUGGGCCAGCGCAGGUCCCUGGGGCACAGGUGAGGUGGCUUCUGCUGCAGAGCUGAGUGGGCCGAGGCAUGGACUGGGGGCAGCGUCGGUCUGCGGCCCAUGGUGGGCAGGGCAGGCGUGUCCCCAGCCUCUGGAUGGCGAGGGUGCUAGAAACGGGGGCCCUGCCUUCAUUCAGUCCUCCACUGGCUGCGGGGUGCCUCCUCACACACCACGCUCCCGAGCCCUCCAUGUGUAUAUGCAUGCACGUGUGUGUGUGCGGCUGUGCACGCACGUGUGCCUGUGCCGGCGUGUGGAGCGGGGAGGGGUGUCAGGGGAAGGCUGGCAGUGGUUCCCCCUACCCCUGCCACCGCGGGCUCCCCAGCCCAGGGCCGGCCCCACCCUGGGCGCCAGGGGUGGAGCGGGGUUUCAGAAACUCUCAGGGACGAGACCAGGCGGCUGGGAAGGGGCAGGAACAUCUCAGCGUCCCUGGGGGAAGUGCUUUGGUGACUCAGAGUGAAAGUGUCUCAGGGCCGCAACCUCACUGCUGGCCUGGGGGCGGUGGGUCAGGGGUGAGAGGAAGAGGGCGGCUUUCAAGGAAAGCGAGAUUCCAUCUCCUGCUUCAGGGCUGCAGACUGAGGUAGCAGGAACCCGAGAGGAGGACAGCGGCAGGGAAGUCCCCUGGCAGGACAGGGCCCCAAGGGUUUGGAGAGGAAGUUGCAGGUCUGGGUGGUGACUACUCAGCCCACAAGGGUUGCUCGCCAGCACUUCCCAGUGAUCUCAGCCCGUCUCUGGUCACCGAAGCAGGACUGGUGGCUGGGAGGGGGCGAGGGGCGCGGGUCAGCCCUUUCGCUGCCGUGAGCCUACCCUUCCCGCCUGGGCCCUCUGCCCGAUCCUGCCCUUCCCACGCCAUGCUGCCCGUCCUAACAGGGUGGACGCCCCACCUGUCAGCGAACAAAAGACAAGAAGACAACGACAGGGUGCUCCCUCUCCAGCCGCCCCUGCCGUACUGGGGAGCAAGUUUUAGCGCAGAAUGGCCGGGAGGCGGGCAGACCCGGCACCCUGUCUCCAGUGUGGCCAGGUUGGCCUUGAGGCUGUGUCUGGGCACCGUGGUGAACGGGUGACGUCUGGAGUCACCCUCCCAACUUGGCACAAACGUGAGGAGCCAAGGAGCCUGAGAAGGUCCUGACGGUUGGAUCUUUCUCACAGUGACUUUGUGAC